Dermacentor silvarum is the source of this 665-nucleotide long non-coding RNA. RefSeq lists it as uncharacterized. NCBI's taxonomy places the organism in Eukaryota, Metazoa, Arthropoda, Arachnida, Ixodida, Ixodidae. The transcript is spliced from 3 exons. The record is from RefSeq and is a predicted model, not a curated record.
GACCUGUUAUACCGAUAGAACAGCUAGUACCAGACAAUGGAUGGAUGGUAAUAACUUUAUUGAGUUGUCCUGCAGUUUUGACGACCCGGGCUCAGGUCUCCCACGACGGGACGUCGAGAUCUUGUCUCAGCGCCGCCUCGCGGGCCUGCUGGACAGCCCCGAGUUGGUCGCCGAGGUCGGAGCUGCGCAGAGCGGCGGCCCACCUCAGCGAUAGGGUCUCGGAGUGUAAUUCGUUUUUGUGUUGGGCGUUACAUUCCCAUAGCAUGUGUUUGAGUGUAGCUGUUUCCUGUUUGCAUAUCUUGCAUGUGUCUUCUUUGGAAAUUAAUAAUAAACACUGCAACCGGUUGCGCAUUUGCUAAUCUUGUCGUUAAUGCUCUCGAAGUGUCUGAGCAUAUAUCCUUUCUCUUCCCUUUAUUUUAAUCUUUUCUUACCUAACAUUCCACCACAGACUGGCCCCUUCUACGCUUCCGAUGAUCCUACUGACGUCUUUCAACAGGCCUUAGGUGAUACUUUCGUGUGCCUUCGGAACACCGAUCUCGCGAAGCUAUCAUUGCAAGCGAUCGACGACCUGACUUCAUUCGGGAUGGAGUACGUCCACGUCAUUGGUUAGUCAUGCAAGCUUGGGUGCCAGCGACGUAUAUAUACGUUUUUCCAGGAAAUAAAUA